Molecule: ribosomal RNA, 513 nt
Filed under: uncultured Acaulospora
Lineage: Eukaryota; Fungi; Glomeromycota; Glomeromycetes; Diversisporales; Acaulosporaceae
Description: SSU rRNA
Rfam family: Eukaryotic small subunit ribosomal RNA
Source: RNAcentral
AGCAGCCGCGGUAAUUCCAGCUCCAAUAGCGUAUAUUAAAGUUGUUGCAGUUAAAAAGCUCGUAGUUGAAUUUCGGAAUCUGUCCGUUGGUCGGGCUUAAUUGUCCGUACUGAUGUGAUGGGUUCUUACCUUCUGAAUAACCAGCAUGUCAUUAAUUUGGUGUGUUGGGGAAGCAGGACUAUUACCUUGAAAAAAUUAGAGUGCUCAAAGCAGGCUAGUGCCUGAAUACAUUAGCAUGGAAUAAUAAAAUAGGACGGCAUGGUUCUAUUUUGUUGGUUUCUAGGAUCACCGUAAUGAUUAAUAGGGAUAGUUGGGGGCAUUAGUAUUCAAUUGUCAGAGGUGAAAUUCUUGGAUUUAUUGAAGACUAACUUCUGCGAAAGCAUUUGCCAAGGAUGUUUUCAUUAAUCAAGAACGAAAGUUAGGGGAUCGAAGACGAUCAGAUACCGUCGUAGUCUUAACCAUAAACUAUGCCGACUAAGGAUCGGACGAUGUUAAUUUUAUAAUGACUCGUUC